Molecule: ribosomal RNA, 180 nt
Filed under: uncultured bacterium
Lineage: Bacteria
Description: partial 16S ribosomal RNA
Rfam family: Bacterial small subunit ribosomal RNA
Source: RNAcentral
UCAAACUCCUACGGGAGGCAGCAGUGAGGAAUAUUGGUCAAUGGACGAGAGUCUGAACCAGCCAAGUAGCGUGCAGGAUGACGGCCCUAUGGGUUGUAAACUGCUUUUAUAAGGGAAUAAAGUGAGUCUCGUGAGACUUUUUGCAUGUACCUUAUGAAUAAGAACCGGCUAAUUCCGUGC